GCUCCACCCAGUUGGAGCUUCCUGGCUGCUUUGUUUACCUAAUCAAGCCUGGGCAAUGGCGGGCGCCCCUCCCCCAGCCUCGCUGCCGCCUUGCAGUUUGAUCUCAGACUGCUGUGCUAGCAAUCAGCGAGACUCUGUGGGCGUAGGACCCUCCGAGCCAGGUGCAGGUUAUAAUCUCGUGGUGAGCCGUUUUUUAAGCCCGUCGGAAAAGUGCAGUAUUCGGGUGGGAGUGACCCGAUUUUCCAGGUGCUGUCCAUCACCCCUUUCUUUGACUUGGAAAGGGAACUCCCUGACCCCUUGCGCUUCCCGAGUGAGGCAAUGCCUUGCCCUGCUUCGGCUCGUGCACGGUGCGUGCACCCACUGACCUGCGCCCAGUGUCUGGCACUCCCUAGUGAGAUGAACCCGGUACCUCAGAUGGAAAUGCAGAAAUCACCCGUCUUCUGCGUCGCUCACGCUGGGAACUGUAGACCGGAGCUGUUCCUAUUCGGCCAUCUUGGCUCCUCAACUCAUCCACUUUAAUACUAAGAUUGGGGAUGGCAGUGGAAAAUGCCACCUGAUUCUAUUAUGAUGGUGGAAUUGCAAAGAAACAGAGGUAGAGUUAAUGAUGCACCAUUUACAGCUCCUCUUCAUUGAAGGGCUUGUUUUCCACUUUGGUUGGAAUGCACUAACUUGGAGUUGCAACAGCCUUCAGCUCUUCACCACUUAGGAACUGCCCCAGCUGCUCGUCAUUCAAGCUAAUAGGAAUUGCCCCAACUGUUCCUCAUUCAAGCUCAUAGGAAUUGCCCCAACUGUUCCUCAUUCAAGCUAACCCUUCCCUGGUCAAUCUUGUGACUGAUGGAGGAAUAUGGAAGCCAAACCACUUGACAGGCCAGAAGAUGUUGUGCAUUUCAAACAGACAAAUGAAGCUGUAGAAGAUUGUUUCUUGAAGGACUCAACCAAAUAAGAAAUAUCUAAAGUUGCAUGCCUCGUUGUAAAGGAAGUAUAUUAAACAUACACUCUGACAAAAUUAACACAGCAAGAUUGCACUUACACUGUAUAAUCACUACACAAAAAGCCAAUAAUCACUUUGUUCAAAAGAGAUAAUGCCACAUAAUAUAAGUAGUAGUUUAAGCAAUUAUCCAGUAGAACAGUUAAUCAUCACCCUCAGUUCACAGCCUUUUGUUUCUCACCAAUACACAUGUCAGAUUGUAAUUAAAUGCACUCACACUGUUCAGGGCAGAAUGAGAGUCCUGGGUUGAAAUGUGGGAACCAAACUGAAAAGCACAAUAAAGACAUGUUUAGACAGCUUUUUAACUGUAUCUGCCUGGCAUGGGGUCUUGGUUGACAAAUUGGCUAUAUAAGGGUGAAACCACACUGGGGCACCUUAUUUAUAGAAAAAAAUAAUUUAUGCCUAUAGAAAAGUUAUGUUAUUCUGUUUAUAAAUUUUCCAAGCGUUGACUUUCUGAGUGAAUUAUUUGCCAG
Molecule: long non-coding RNA, 1461 nt
Filed under: Homo sapiens (human)
Lineage: Eukaryota; Metazoa; Chordata; Mammalia; Primates; Hominidae
Description: HSALNT0139072
Source: RNAcentral